AGGUGAGAUUCGUAAAGUUGUUAACAUGUUAUUAGUAAGAAAAAGAAAGGAUAUCGCCAAUUAAGCCCAACUAUAGCCCACGAUAAAUUUGGGCCUUCUUCCCACAAUAGUUUCUUAUUGUUUUGCGGACCGUGGUCCAUUAUCAACUCCCUGUCUAAAUCUGGAAAAUUUUGAAGUGAAUGGCGAGGGAUGGAACCUGAAAAAGGACCUGAACCCAAGAGGAGGAAAAUCCAUAGGCCACCGCCUCGCCUGUAAUGUCCUUUAUACCGCUCUCUGGUUCGGGGAAUGUCUUUCACCUGCUUUAAAGACUCCCAAAGAUGCAAAAUCGAGAAGUAAUUUGACAGUUCGAGGGUCACAAACAAGUGGUAUUAGUUUGAGAAUCCAACAAGCCAAAAACUUUGCAGUAGCUCAGGCAAAACAAGAUGGCAGCACUGGAAAUUUUAAGAAAUUUGAUCCACAGUAUCGGAAUUUUCUGGUGCCAGUUGUUCCAUCUCGAGCAGAACUAAUUGGAUAAGUACUUCUUGUACCUUAUUGAUUUUGAUCUAUUUUUAUCUACAGACAAUGGGAUCAUAAUAUUUCUAUAAACAAGUAGAUUAUGUUCUUAUCAGUUCUUGCUUGUACCAUAUGGUUAAGACACUACAAGAAAAUGACAUAUUAACGGUAAUUUUACAAGAUUUUUCACUUACAAACGUUGCUAAUUUUUGUGUUUUUAUAAAACUUAAAAUGUUUAUUAUCAAAAUAUCAUUAAAUAUUCAAAUAGCGGCGUUAUUACUUAUAAACGUCAC
This is an RNA transcript of Durio zibethinus, 785 nucleotides long. RefSeq lists it as uncharacterized. Lineage: Eukaryota; Viridiplantae; Streptophyta; Magnoliopsida; Malvales; Malvaceae. The record is from RefSeq and is a predicted model, not a curated record.